UACAGAGGGUGCGAGCGUUAAUCGGAAUUACUGGGCGUAAAGCGUGCGUAGACGGUUAUUUAAGUCGGGUGUGAAAGCCCCGGGCUCAACCUGGGAAUUGCAUUCGAGACUGAAUAGCUAGGGUACGGUAGAGGGAAGUGGAAUUUCCGGUGUAGCGGUGAAAUGCGUAGAUAUCGGAAGGAACACCCGUGGCGAAGGCGGCUCUCUGGGACGGUACUGACGCUGAGACGCGAAAGCGUGGGGAGCGAACAGG
Molecule: ribosomal RNA, 253 nt
Filed under: uncultured bacterium
Lineage: Bacteria
Description: partial 16S ribosomal RNA
Rfam family: Bacterial small subunit ribosomal RNA
Source: RNAcentral